GUGGUCUCUGGAAAAGGUGAGGAUGCCCUUUGAUGAGCCUGGGCAAAGCCUUUGAAUCAGGACAUGCAAUUUGAUCCAGCAAUUAGCAAUAUAACCAUGGUGUUUACGUAUUAUUUAAUGGAGAAUGGUUUGGUCCGGGCAUGGUUGGUGAUUCCCAGGGUUGCCGGUCUUCAUCUCUGCUGUCCAAUGAUUCUUUUAUUACAGUUGAAGGCGCCUGUCAUUGGUGUGCAAGCCAGACCUGAGGGACGACCAACAGAACAUCCUUGAGAAGACGAUGGCACCCAUCAUCCAAUCGUUCCAUGGGAUUGUGACCUGCAUUGAAAUUUCAGUGCUAUGCGUUCCGCCAGACUGAGAUCAAAAAGACCCCCAUUGUAUCAAUUUACAUUCGUAACACUUUAUUAUGUCAAUUUGUUGAUUGUUCUAACAGUUGCUCAGCCUCACGUAAUAUUCCAACAGUGCAUAUUUUUUGUAAUUUUGAUUGUUCGUUAGAGUUCUAGAUACUAUGCUCGAGUAGAGUAGGUUUACUAUAACAGAUUGUUUAGGAAUCACAAGUGCAGAAGGUCUUCUACCAUCUGUGGUGUGAGGGUUUUGAAGCAGAUAUUCAUUCUAUGUGACCACGACGGGGAUGAAAUAGGGAAACAAGAUUCAGAUAUAUGAUUUGAGGUUCGUAGUGGAGAAGAGCUGUGAGAAACUGCAGUUGCUUUCUUUUAUUGCAACGCAUGGACAAUUAUCUUUUCUUUUUGGCGAUCACAGGGAACAAAUACUACGUGGAUCAAGUCGGGGAUUCAUGGCAAGGGAUUGACAAAUUUUUAUGAAAGCAGUUUGCUACACACUGCAGUGUGACAGAAAAUCCGUUUAGAAAAAAGUGUGACAUAAAAGAAAUAGUUUCGGCAUUGGAGUCAGUUUCUUCGAUGUUUUCAUUGUUCUUAUCGGGAAGUGUGAAGUGAAAUUGUGGAAAUUUUCCCAAGUCCCAGGAUUGCAUAGGCCUUUAUUACUGGUGUGGUGGUAUGGGCACAUGAGGGGUGUGCUAUUGAUAUUUUUAUGUGAGAUAUU
Molecule: long non-coding RNA, 1053 nt
Organism: Triticum aestivum (bread wheat)
Lineage: Eukaryota; Viridiplantae; Streptophyta; Magnoliopsida; Poales; Poaceae
Exons: 5
Source: RefSeq, a predicted model, not a curated record